AGAGCCCGGAGUGGAGGAGGGAGAACGCGAAAGCGCCGACUAAGAUCUUUUGCUAGUAUAAAAGAGAAAGAAAAGAACUGAGCACACGCACACCCUAGAACUUCAAAUGAUCUUCCAGAGAAACGCAAUUACCUGCGGCUGCCGCCUACGUGGCAUUCACCGUCAGAGAAGCAUCGGGGUGGUCGAUGGGGAGGCGGGCGAAGCGAUGGGUGAAGAGAAAUCGCGGAGGGUUCGAUCUCCAAAACAUUGGCGAAAGAGCCUGAAGGCAAGCAGCGGUGGCGGCGUGUCGAGAGAGGAAACGCAUCUCUGCAUCUCCCGCGGAACGGGUCCGGAAUAGCAGGCGACUUGCUGGAGAGAAGUUGGCAGUAAAAUUUCAUUUGGAAGGAACAAAAAAGGAAGGCCUUUGCAAAUCUGUUGCUAGAUGUGGAAGGCAAAUAGGCGUAACUAAAUAAAUGGUUCUCCAAAAUA
Long non-coding RNA from Pantherophis guttatus, 468 nucleotides. RefSeq lists it as uncharacterized. The record is from RefSeq and is a predicted model, not a curated record. Lineage: Eukaryota; Metazoa; Chordata; Lepidosauria; Squamata; Colubridae.